AUUGAACGCUGGCGGCACGCCUAACACAUGCAAGUCGAACGGUAACAGGAAGAAGCUUGCUUCUUUGCUGACGAGUGGCGGACGGGUGAGUAAUGUCUGGGAAACUGCCUGAUGGAGGGGGAUAACUACUGGAAACGGUAGCUAAUACCGCAUAACGUCGCAAGACCAAAGAGGGGGACCUUCGGGCCUCUUGCCAUCGGAUGUGCCCAGAUGGGAUUAGCUAGUAGGUGGGGUAACGGCUCACCUAGGCGACGAUCCCUAGCUGGUCUGAGAGGAUGACCAGCCACACUGGAACUGAGACACGGUCCAGACUCCUACGGGAGGCAGCAGUGGGGAAUAUUGCACAAUGGGCGCAAGCCUGAUGCAGCCAUGCCGCGUGUAUGAAGAAGGCCUUCGGGUUGUAAAGUACUUUCAGCGGGGAGGAAGGGAGUAAAGUUAAUACCUUUGCUCAUUGACGUUACCCGCAGAAGAAGCACCGGCUAACUCCGUG
RNAcentral lists this ribosomal RNA (490 nucleotides) under uncultured bacterium. Its description in RNAcentral is "partial 16S ribosomal RNA". It matches the Rfam family "Bacterial small subunit ribosomal RNA", at positions 30 to 507 of the family's 1533-position model. The record is from RNAcentral.